RNAcentral lists this long non-coding RNA (2085 nucleotides) under Homo sapiens (human). Its description in RNAcentral is "HSALNT0126268". The record is from RNAcentral. Lineage: Eukaryota; Metazoa; Chordata; Mammalia; Primates; Hominidae.
AAGUGAUUGUUACCUUUCAAAAAAAAAAGUCACAUGUCUGUAACCAAGAAAAUAAAAAGAGAUAAAAAGAGCAAAUUCCUGUGUCCAUAUGUGGAUACAGCUAAGGGGACAUCACACACCACUAUGGUGCCUGCUGCAAACAUGUAAUUCACAACCAAAACCAAUGUGAAAUGAGUGUGAGCAACAAAUGCUUAUUGUUAGAUGCCACUGAGGUUUUUGGAGGUUUUUUACUUAGCAUUAUUGUAGUAAUAGAAAGCAGAUGAACCAGAGCCAGCACGUUUUACAAAGAUCUUACGCUUCUGCCAGUAGCAACCAUUUGCUAUGUUUCUUUCUUUUUCUUUUCAGAGCCUUCCUACAUAGAGUCAGUGAAAGAAUCAGUGAUUAUGCUUUUUAUAAAAAUUCUCCUGGGAAGUGGUGAGGAGGCAUUUUUGCUAAGGUUUCACCUCCUCCCUCCUUCUCCAUGUACCAUCCACUCACCUUAUUGGGUAAAACUGCAUCAAUUUCCUCCUGCAGUUUCUGCUGGACAUCAGGGUGAGUGGCCAGUUCAUACAUAAUGAAGGAGAGAACACUGCUCGUGGUUUCAUAGCCAGCAAAAAUAAAGAUAAUUGAUUGGGCCACGAGCUCCAGAUCGGACAGAGCUGAAAGGAGAGGAAAGACAUUUUAGGUAAAUCAGAUCAAUGUAGGGCAUCACAGUUUAGAUGAAGAGAAAUCUAAGUGAAGCCCUCAAAUCCCUAAGGGAAAAGAAUAGAAAAGCAAUUCAGAGGUACACUGGGGGUGGUUUCAUUCUGAUGUGUAUCUUACAGAACCAGAAUAAGGCAAAUCAUUUUAAUCCAGUUUUCCCCAAGGUCUUCGAGAAUGUGGGCCAUCCACUCCUCCUCAUGCCACCCCCGCCACCUGCACAGCUGUGUAAUUUCCAGAGAGAGCAUUUCCGCAUAACAUACUCAGUGUUAUGGGUGUGUUCCUUGAAUGAUCCUAAAAGUACUUUAUUGUAAGUUAAUAUGAGGUAGUACUCUCCCCCAAGAAAAAUGUAAUUUAUUUUAGCUACAAUAUAUCUUGACAAACUUUGAGAGAAUUUGCAACACUAAUGGUUAAAUGUAGGGAAAAUCAAAGGACGUUUCCCGAAGAUAUGUUUGAGGGAACUUAAGGGACCAAUAUUGGUCUACAGACCACUUCUUGGUAUUCAAAGUGUGGUCCAUGGGUCAGAAGCAUCUGAGAGCUCAUUAGAAAUGCAAAAUCUCAAACCCCACCCUUGAACUACUGAUUCAAAAUCUGAACUUUCACAAGAUGCAGUGAUUUGUGUGCAUAGCCUAGCUUGAGAAGCACGGAUUAUAUCUUUGAGAGGCAUCAGGUGAUAGAUCUAGGCUACAGUUCUCAGAAUUGACUAUCUCAGGAUGUACAAGAAUGAGAGAUGGACAAAAAGCUAGAUGAGUGGUAAUUGAUUGUAGUCUGAUGGAUGGCAUUAAAAUAGCAUAAGCUCCUAUGAUUACAAGUUGGGCCCCUCUUGAUUUUUCUCCUGAGAGAAGCUCAGGAUGGUCCAUCACUGGUCUGUUUGAUCAGGACUGGAUUAGGACCUUUAGAGACCUGGAACAUAGAAAUAAAUAUAAUGCCUGCUCCAACCAUGUAAUUCACAACCAAAACCAAUAUGAAAGGAGUGUGAGAAAGGUCGACAGAGCUGUGAUUUACCAGUGAAGACUUCUGUGAUGCAGUUAUAAGUAAAUUCAACUACCUAAUCAUAGUAUUCAGUUAUCAUGAACCUGAUGAUACUGAUGUGAAAUUGAACUAUAAUCUCAAAGUUUAGAGCUCUGCUGUCCAAUAUGGUAGCCACUACCCACUAGUGGCUAUUUAAAAUCAAAUUUUAUUAAAUUAAACUGAAAUACCAUUUAAAAUUGAUCUUCAAUGGCACUAGCCACAUAUCCAGUGCUCAAUAGCCAUAUGUGUCUAGUGAUUUCUAUAUGAAACAGUAAAACAAUAGACUAUUUCCUUUAUCACAGCAAGUUAUAUUGGGAUAGAUAGAUGAAUAGUUAGAUGAUAGAUAGAUAAUAUAUAAGUAGAUAGAUGAUAGAUGGAUAAAUGAUAGAUGAUAGA